AUUACGCUUUAUAUUUUAUCGUUGGACUGUUUAGUAGCGAGAGGGGUCCGAACUGUUACACGAAUUAUGCUGGCAGAAUGUUAUGCAGUAAUAUGAGGAUUUUUUUUCCAGAAUUUUAAAGGGUUUAUAACUCCCUUGUAACCUCCCUCAUAAUCAUUCUUAAUACCCACAUCAAAUACCAUCAUUUACGCUUGGUUUCGUUUCCUUAUUAAUCCUCAUAUUUUGCGGCACUAGACUAACGUGAGUGAUACUCACUCUUGCAACAAACUCUUCGGCCUCCUUUAGAGAGAAAGUUAUUAUUAUUAUUUUUUUUCCUCACCUUCAUCUUCUCCUACCAUUGUUGUUCACCAAGAAGCCCCAUUUUUAUUCACCCCUUUUUGUCACAUACAACACAUAGUAUAUCUUCAUUCUUAUCUUAGAUUACUAAGCUCUUGUUGGGGUUGCUAGGAGGUCAUCACUUGGAGGACGAACAGGUGAACGACGGCGGGAACUAGACGACUUAGCUUCACUCCUCCAGUUGGCCCAGGUUAAUAUGUUGCAGUAUGGUUUUGUCAUGGGGUUUGAGAGAUAUUGUCGAGCUUCAAUAGGAGGAUUACUUAUUUUGUUUCUUUGCGUUAUUUGUGAGAUUUUGUGAUCGUGUUAUUUCGUUAUAGUUACUUUUGGAUUAAUGUUCUAUGGGAUUUAUUUUGUUGUUGUUUUAGUUUUUAUUCGAACUUUAGAGUGACACUGUCCGUCUUGACGAUAUUUCCGCUGUCUACUACUUAAUAAAUCUUUCUAUUUUGUUUA
Long non-coding RNA from Beta vulgaris subsp. vulgaris (sugar beet), 786 nucleotides. RefSeq lists it as uncharacterized. The record is from RefSeq and is a predicted model, not a curated record. NCBI's taxonomy places the organism in Eukaryota, Viridiplantae, Streptophyta, Magnoliopsida, Caryophyllales, Amaranthaceae. The transcript has 2 exons.